RNAcentral lists this long non-coding RNA (272 nucleotides) under Homo sapiens (human). RNAcentral describes it as "HSALNT0371472". Lineage: Eukaryota; Metazoa; Chordata; Mammalia; Primates; Hominidae. The record is from RNAcentral.
CUCCCGAGCAGCUGGGAUUACAGGCACGCACCGCAAUGCCCAGAGUGAGAGUUUCGACCAGGAGUGGAUACUGAGGAGAGCAAAGAUCACCUGGUGCUCAUCAAGCCGGACUUCCAGAGGCAAAGCUCCUUAACUGAAGAAUUCAGAAAUGAUCCAGUGCAGGACCCUGAGAAGCCCACAGGAGAAGAAGAAUCCCUAAAGUGAGAGAAACCUGGGCCCUUGAGUGACUGCAUGGAGAAGAGCCCCAUCAUUGACUCAUGUUAGACUGUGAC